Molecule: long non-coding RNA, 1204 nt
Organism: Diabrotica virgifera virgifera (western corn rootworm)
Lineage: Eukaryota; Metazoa; Arthropoda; Insecta; Coleoptera; Chrysomelidae
Exons: 2
Source: RefSeq, a predicted model, not a curated record
UUUACAUCAACAAUAAAUUGGACAAGAAAUUGACCAAGUUAUUCAAGGCCAAAUUUGACGUGUAAAAGCACACUUUGACAUCUAAGUUUGUUCGUUAUAAACUUCACGUGAAGAAAUUGACGAAAAAGAAAAUUGUUCUAUUUUUUCAUUUUAUUCGGCGUGAAUUCAGUGUCACCAACCUGUGUCCAUUUGGCGGGAAGUGGAAGUAGAGCUUUUUGUUUAUUAUUAUUUGUUGAGGUUGAGUCUUUCAUGUUCAUGACAACCUAAAAAUUUUGAUUGGAAAAUGCAUAUAAGAUAAGGGGGUGGAAAAAUGGAAAUUAGUGGCUUUUUUUGCAGUUCUGUCUGUUAGUUUUGCGUUUUGCUCUGGCUGGGUCUCUUUUGUUUAAACAAUUAUAAUCAGCUGAAAGUGGUCUACAAAACAACCAGGAAGGAAACGUAUUAUAGCCUUGUUGUGGCUAUGAAAGGCAAAAGAAAGAUACCUAUAAAAAGUGUAUUGACUAGUUGGAAGAAACUCCACAUUGUCGAUGCAUAAUAAGAUAUUACUUUAUAAACAAAUAUCAAGACCUAGGAAUGGAACCUGGAUAAUAUAGUCAUCAAGAAGAUAGCAGGAAGUCAUGAGCAACAACAACUUCAUAAGUAUGAGAAUAUUGAGGAAAUCCAGCUCCUCAUAUCUACUACUGGACAAACUAGAAGAUUGAAGAGGACAAAGCCUUUUGAACUAGUUUGAGUGAUAAGUGAUAGUGAAAAGCAGAGCGUAGUGCUUGUGUGCCUGUGUAUGUUAGAAUAGUGCACGAUCUUGUUAGAUUAGAUAAGAGACGCUAUGGGGUAAGCUCUUCAUUUUAAGGAACAGUAGUAAUUUAGGUUAAAUUAAAAUUGCUCAUUGGUCAGUUAUGACCAGAUUGUAAUUCUCUGAUGUUUGGCAAAAAGGGCUUAAGUCAGAAUUGCACAUCAAUAAUGUUUUGAUGAUUUCUGGACCAUAAAAAAAGUGUUGCAGACUUAAACUGUAUGUACCAAUAAAAAGAGCCGAUUUUUCUGGUCCAGAAAUCAUCUAAACAUUAUCGAUGUGCAAUUCUGACUUAAGCCCUUUUUCCCAAACAUCAGAGAAUUGCAAUGUACAAUUCAAUACAAACGAAUCAUCAUCGUAGUGAUGAUUAUGGAAAAAAAUAUAUGACAAGAUUUUGUGCAAUAAAAAUGUUUAUAUUUA